UGGUUGGUAUCGUAAGAGCCAAACCAUUUAUUAAAAAUUUAAAAACUUAAUUCAUUUUUCGCUUAGCUUGGAUCCUUAAGGACCGAGACACAGAAAG
Molecule: non-coding RNA, 97 nt
Organism: Caldisalinibacter kiritimatiensis
Lineage: Bacteria; Bacillati; Bacillota; Tissierellia; Tissierellales; Thermohalobacteraceae
Source: Rfam